This 733-nucleotide ribosomal RNA is filed under the name uncultured bacterium. Its description in RNAcentral is "bacterial SSU rRNA". It matches the Rfam family "Bacterial small subunit ribosomal RNA", at positions 10 to 772 of the family's 1533-position model. The record is from RNAcentral.
AGUUUGAUCCUGGCUCAGAACGAACGCUGGCGGCAGGCCUAACACAUGCAAGUCGAACGAGUAAGAGCCGUAGCAAUACGGAGUUCUGCUAGUGGCGCACGGGUGAGUAACGCGUGGGAACGUGCCCUUUAGUUUGGGAUAACCACUGGAAACGGUGGCUAAUACCAGAUACGCCCUUCGGGGGAAAGAUUUAUCGCUAAAGGAUCGGCCCGCGUAAGAUUAGGUAGUUGGUGAGGUAACGGCUCACCAAGCCUACGAUCUUUAGCUGGUCUGAGAGGAUGAUCAGCCACACUGGAACUGAGACACGGUCCAGACUCCUACGGGAGGCAGCAGUGGGGAAUAUUGGACAAUGGGCGAAAGCCUGAUCCAGCCAUGCCGCGUGAGUGAUGAAGGCCUUAGGGUUGUAAAGCUCUUUUACCGGGGAAGAUGAUGACGGUACCUGGAGAAUAAGCUCCGGCUAACUUCGUGCCAGCAGCCGCGGUAAUACGAAGGGAGCUAGCGUUGUUCGGAAUCACUGGGCGUAAAGCGCGCGUAGGCGGCGAUGCAAGUCAGAGGUGAAAUGCCGGGGCUCAACCCCGGAACUGCCCUUGAAACUGCAUUGCUAGAGUCUCGGAGGGGAUAGCGGAAUUCCUAAUGUAGAGGUGAAAUUCGUAGAUAUUAGGAGGAACACCUGUGGCGAAGGCGGCUAUCUGGACGAGUACUGACGCUGAGGCGCGAAAGCGUGGGGAUCAAA